This 72-nucleotide transfer RNA is filed under the name Camelus bactrianus (Bactrian camel). It matches the Rfam family "tRNA". From Rfam's summary of the family: Transfer RNA (tRNA) molecules are approximately 80 nucleotides in length. Their secondary structure includes four short double-helical elements and three loops (D, anti-codon, and T loops). Further hydrogen bonds mediate the characteristic L-shaped molecular structure. tRNAs have two regions of fundamental functional importance: the anti-codon, which is responsible for specific mRNA codon recognition, and the 3' end, to which the tRNAs corresponding amino acid is attached (by aminoacyl-tRNA synthetases). tRNAs cope with the degeneracy of the genetic code in two manners: having more than one tRNA (with a specific anti-codon) for a particular amino acid; and 'wobble' base-pairing, i.e. permitting non-standard base-pairing at the 3rd anti-codon position. RNAcentral also lists the same sequence under 3 other names. Lineage: Eukaryota; Metazoa; Chordata; Mammalia; Artiodactyla; Camelidae. The record is from Rfam by way of RNAcentral.
GAGGGUAUAGCUUAGUGAUAAAGUGCAUGCUUAGCAUGCAUGACGUCCUGGGUUCAAGCCCCAGUAUCUCCA